UACGGGGGGGGGCAAGCGUUGUUCGGAAUUACUGGGCGUAAAGGGCGCGUAGGCGGCCAUUCAAGUGACGGGUGAAAGCCCUCGGCUUAACCGAGGAACUGCCUGUCAGACUGGAUGGCUUGAGACCGGGAGAGGUGAGUGGAAUUCCCAGUGUAGCGGUGAAAUGCGUAGAUAUUGGGAGGAACACCAGUGGCGAAGGCGGCUCACUGGACCGGAACUGACGCUGAGACGCGAAGGCGUGGGGAGCGAACGG
Molecule: ribosomal RNA, 253 nt
Filed under: uncultured bacterium
Lineage: Bacteria
Description: partial 16S ribosomal RNA
Rfam family: Bacterial small subunit ribosomal RNA
Source: RNAcentral